Molecule: ribosomal RNA, 468 nt
Filed under: uncultured bacterium
Lineage: Bacteria
Description: partial 16S ribosomal RNA
Rfam family: Bacterial small subunit ribosomal RNA
Source: RNAcentral
GACGAACGCUGGCGGCGUGCUUAACACAUGCAAGUCGAACGGAAAGGCCCUGCUUUUGUGGGGUGCUCGAGUGGCGAACGGGUGAGUAACACGUGAGUAACCUGCCCUUGACUUUGGGAUAACUUCAGGAAACUGGGGCUAAUACCGGAUAGGAGCUCCUGCUGCAUGGUGGGGGUUGGAAAGUUUCGGCGGUUGGGGAUGGACUCGCGGCUUAUCAGCUUGUUGGUGGGGUAGUGGCUUACCAAGGCUUUGACGGGUAGCCGGCCUGAGAGGGGGACCGGCCACAUGGGGACUGAGAUACGGCCCAGACUCCUACGGGAGGCAGCAGUGGGGAAUAUUGCACAGUGGGCGGAAGCCUGAUGCAGCAACGCCGCGUGCGGGAUGACGGCCUUCGGGUUGUAAACCGCUUUCGCCUGUGACGAAGCGUGAGUGACGGUAAUGGGUAAAGAAGCACCGGCUAACUACGUG